This 252-nucleotide ribosomal RNA is filed under the name uncultured prokaryote. Its description in RNAcentral is "partial 16S rRNA". It matches the Rfam family "Bacterial small subunit ribosomal RNA", at positions 525 to 775 of the family's 1533-position model. The record is from RNAcentral.
ACGUAGGGUGCGAGCGUUGUCCGGAAUUACUGGGCGUAAAGGGCUCGUAGGCGGAUUGACGCGUCGGCUGUGAAAUUCCGGGGCUUAACUCCGGGCGAGCAGGUGAUACGGGCCUAACUAGAGUACUGUAGGGGAGCCUGGAAUUCCUGGUGUAGCGGUGAAAUGCGUAGAUAUUAGGAGGAACACCGAUGGCGAAGGCAGCGUACUGGGGUGUUACUGACGCUGAGGAGCGAAAGCAUGGGUAGCAAACAG